GAUCAUGGCUCAGGAUCGAACGCUAGCUACAGGCUUAACACAUGCAAGUCGAGGGAACGACAUCGAAAGCUUGCUUUGAUGGGCGUCGACCGGCGCACGGGUGAGUAACGCGUAUCCAACCUGCCCGUCACUUGGGGAUAACCUUGCGAAAGUAAGACUAAUACCCAAUGACGUCUCUAGAAGACAUCUGAAAGAGAUUAAAGAUUUAUCGGUGAUGGAUGGGGAUGCGUCUGAUUAGCUUGUGGCGGGUAACGGCCCACCAAGGCAACGAUCAGUAGGGGUUCUGAGAGGAAGGUCCCCCACAUUGGAACUGAGACACGGUCCAAACUCCUACGGGAGGCAGCAGUGAGGAAUAUUGGGUCAAUGGGCGAGAGCCUGAACCAGCCAAGUAGCGUGCAGGAUGACGGCCCUAUGGGUUGUAAACUGCUUUUAUAAGGGAAUAAAGUUAGUCUCGUGAGACUUUUUGCAUGUACCUUAUGAAUAAGGACCGGCUAAUUCCGUG
RNAcentral lists this ribosomal RNA (502 nucleotides) under uncultured bacterium. RNAcentral's name for it is "bacterial SSU rRNA". It matches the Rfam family "Bacterial small subunit ribosomal RNA", at positions 15 to 507 of the family's 1533-position model. The record is from RNAcentral.